RNAcentral lists this small RNA (82 nucleotides) under Salmonella enterica subsp. enterica serovar Kentucky. Its description in RNAcentral is "partial RtT sRNA". It matches the Rfam family "RtT RNA", at positions 45 to 130 of the family's 130-position model. From Rfam's summary of the family: This family represents a bacterial cis-regulatory element known as RtT RNA. The exact function of RtT is unknown although it is thought that it may be involved in changing the cellular response in relation to amino acid starvation. Lineage: Bacteria; Pseudomonadati; Pseudomonadota; Gammaproteobacteria; Enterobacterales; Enterobacteriaceae. The record is from RNAcentral.
GAUGUUGAACGUGAAGGAUAACGUUGCGUCAGCAACGGCCUGUAGGGCAAGGCGAAGCCGAGUCAUCCUGCACGACCCACCA